GAUGAAGAGCGUAGCGAAAUGCGAUAAGUAGUGUGAAUUGCAGAAUUCAGUGAAUCAUCGAAUCUUUGAACGCACAUUGCGCCCGAUGGUAUUCCGUCGGGCAUGCCUGUUCGAGCGUCAUUUCAACCCUCAAGCGCAGCUUGGUGUUGGGUGCUUGUCCCGCCUCCGCGCGGCGACUCACCUCAAAGUCAUUGGCAGCCCGCAUCCGCCGGCCGUGAGCGCAGCACAGUCGCGCCCUAGGCCCCGGCGGAUCGGCUCUCCAGAAGCUACCCCCCAAUGUUGACCUCGGAUCAGGUAGGGAUACCCGCUGAACUUAAGCAUAUCAAUAAGCGGAGGA
This 337-nucleotide unclassified non-coding RNA is filed under the name soil metagenome. RNAcentral describes it as "partial contains 5.8S ribosomal RNA, internal transcribed spacer 2, and large subunit ribosomal RNA". The stretch from base 1 to 120 matches the Rfam family "5.8S ribosomal RNA", at positions 35 to 154 of the family's 154-position model. The record is from RNAcentral.